UUCCUUAAUUUUUGCUGUUUUCCAGUAUGCUCUACAUCUUGUCUUGGGAGCACCCUUUGAUUUUACAUCUGUAAGUAAUUACCAGUUCAAGUAAUUGACCUUUAUGAUGUUGUAGCAGUUGAAAUAUCAAGAUUUCUCUAUUUUUGUCUUCCAGUGCGACUUUCCAAACAUACGGAGAUGGUGGGCUCUUAUUCUUCUGGAGAACUUUGGGGUUUUCUCUGAAAGUGCAGAAACCCUAUAAGAGUCCCUUCCAUGUGAAGAACAAGCUACGCUUAGCAGCAGUGAGGCGGAGCUCCCAAUAAUCCGGCACAUGAAAGAAGCUGUGAAAUGGCUCCAUUCCAACAGCCAUCUGCUCAGGGGUCCAGUGGAAGAGCCUCUUUUCAUUCGAAUGAAUGAAGACCACAAGGAAAAGGCCCGCAACAAUCUCCUGGAACAGUCAGAAGCUUCCAGAGAGCCCUUUCUAUUUCAUUUUGUGUUCAGGGAUGAC
Molecule: long non-coding RNA, 487 nt
Organism: Xyrauchen texanus (razorback sucker)
Lineage: Eukaryota; Metazoa; Chordata; Actinopteri; Cypriniformes; Catostomidae
Exons: 3
Source: RefSeq, a predicted model, not a curated record